This is a long non-coding RNA of Alligator mississippiensis (American alligator), 3136 nucleotides long. RefSeq lists it as uncharacterized. The record is from RefSeq and is a predicted model, not a curated record. The transcript has 2 exons. NCBI's taxonomy places the organism in Eukaryota, Metazoa, Chordata, Crocodylia, Alligatoridae.
CCCUGCUCCACGCGGAGCAGCUCAAUAUACCCCGAAAGGGCCGCUGAGGCCGAGCUGAGCAAGGGGCUCCCGGCUGCGCGGCAUGAAAGCGACUUUCCAGUCGCUGCCUCCUCCAUGCUGCAUUUUUCCGAGCGAGGAUGAAAAGGAAGAGACACACAUGGGGGGGCUCACCGAGGCCCGGGAGGCACCGGGCGGGGUGGGGGCUGCACCCUGCGGGGCUCCGAUGCACCCUGUGCGGGGCAGGAGGGAAGAGAAGGGGACCCCACGGCACCCCCGCACCCCAGCUCUGCUGCGCUGCCUUCCCUCGCCUGCCACCCCGCACCCCCCGCAGGCGAGACAACCUCAGCCCCCGCCAGGUUUGGGGGAAACCGCUCGCACGAGAGAACAUGUUGUGACAUGUCAAAAGGGUGCGUGUUUUGAUAAACACGUAAUUAGUGCCAGGCUCCGUGCAGCUGGCGGGCGGGCAGCGGAGAGGAGCGUCUGCAGCGCGCCCAAUGGGCAGAGCAUUUGCGAACGGAGCCCGAAGUGAUCAUUAGGGCGAGUUGCUGGGAAGCUGCCACCAUGGCCCACUGCGCUCACAAGGAAGCAGGCAGACAGGUCACGGAGGAGACCCCGGCGCAGGGAAUCCCACAAGCCGGACUCUGGAGCCCUCCCCAGGAGGGCAGACUUGUGCAGGGGUUGGCGUGUGAGGAAGGGCCUGUUCUGACCUCCCUUGUGCCGAUGUUUACCAGCAGCACCUUGAAAACAAGGGAGGAAUACUGGGGUGAGCGGAGUCCGACCCCAGGCACGGCGUCAGUGGGGUCUUCACGCACAGGUGGAUGUGGAAGUGGGACAUAGCCGACUGCAGUCUCCACACGGCGGGGACCUCUCCCUGGCAGCGUGGAGCUCCCAGGGGGCAGACAGGCACUGCAGCACCUUCCUGCUUCUCCUUGGCUUGUGCACAAGCCCUGUUAAACCUCUCCCAACGCUGCUUCUAGUCACUGGCUUCUUGGCAAGAAUUUUGGGGCGCUUUGUGGGGAGGCAGGGCCAGCGCCAGAGCUCCCCGGCUGUGUCUCCAUCCCGCGGGCUAGUCCCCCCAAAGCCCAGUGGACCUGGUACCACGUACCACUGAUGGGGCGAGAGGGGCAGCCGCCCCCUGGAUUCCUUCGUGGCGAGAUUGUUUAUUAUUUUGCCUCUGCAGGAGCUGGGAAUCAGCAGCGCCUCCCUCAGAUUUCCCACCACCAGGCUCAAGGGGGUUUUCAGAGAUGAGAGGAAACUUCUGCUUUCCCCCAGGAACUUCCAGCCCAGGGCAGUAGCUGCAAAGCCAGCUGGCCAGGGGAGACCCAGCCUGCACGAUGGGGAUCGCGCAGGCCGAAAGGGACACAACGAGACAUGCCCAAGCCUGGGUGCCUCCCAGGGACCCCAGCACAUUGCAAGGCCCAGCCCAGCCCACUGUCUCACAAAGAGCUAGGGCAGGGCAAGGCUGCUGGCAGUGCAGCCUCCCUUGGGCUCAGGCUUUGCACGCUGAAUGCAUUUUAUCGUGGUGUCACGGGGCUAUCUGCGAUCAAGGGUCGUAUUUGCAAACACAGAGGAACAAGGCCGGGUUGCUUUGCUCGGAGGCCAUGCAGCGCGGCUUGGGGAUGGGGUGGGGAGGGGGGUGGCACAGACAGUGAUUCGGGUGACAGUAACUAUGUGCCAGUCAUCAGAUUAGUAUGCAAAAUAUGUAACCCUGCGAUGCAAUCGGAUCCCUCUGCCAGCCCGGGGGAGAGCAGAUUCCUUCCCGCUGCUCUCCUGCCAAGCUGAUUAGUCCCAUUCCAAGGGUAUCCAUGGUCAUCGGGGCGCUUAUUAUGGAUGGCCGUCGUCUGUCUGUGCAGUGCAGCUCAGACCUUGGCUCCUGGCACGGUCCCCGGCUGCGCCCCCGAGCUGGCUUCACACACCUCUUUCUUUCCUUCUCCCACCCGCAGCCCUGCACUCAGGCAAGGCCCAUGCAGGGAGCAGCCUCCAGCCUGGGGCCUGCGUGGCAGUUUGCUCUCUCCCUCUGUCCUCCCCACAUGUCUCCUGCACCCCACGUCUGUGCAUGCCCCACAGCCAUGCCCUGUAUUCUCCUGCCAUUUAGGAGUGGGGGACAGGAAGGGCAUUACAAGCCCCAGGAGAGCAGGGGCCAAGACAAGAGCACAUGCCUCUGGCAGGGCCUUAGACCCACUGUGAGGCUUGCAGUAGGGGACCUGCCGGGUGCUUGCUGGAGCUGACAGAGGGAAAAGACACUGCGGCCAGACCUGGCCAGGGUCCCAAGUGCUGGUGCCAGUGAAGUGGCGUGUUCCCGAUCUGCGGCUUUGCAGAUUCCCCCCUCUGGGGAACAGCAUGCCCCAGGGCUAAGGAGGAGGGCAGGGGCUUGCACAGAGCUGGAUCUCGGGACCCUGGCUCUGGUUUUGCAUGCAGCUGCCUGCCUCGGGCUCAGAGCUCUCCGGGGGUGGCUGGACUGACUCACUGGGGAAGGACACGGUGCUGGUUUUGCUGCCAUGUCCCGUGGCAAUGAUGGACAUUAUUGGCAGGCCGUUCACCCCUCCCCAGAGCCAAGGGGGGAUGCACUGGAAAGCCCAGCUGUCCAGGGCAGCCAGGUGCCCACUGAUAUCCCCCCCUGGCAGUCAGCCUGUCCAGACCCAGGACGGCUGCAGGAGCCUCGCAAAGGCGAGGGAAGCCCCUGUGGCCCACGGUUGUAACGCGGUGGGGGACCGGGUCCAAUGCCCAUGGAAGGCCCCUGACCCCAGCAGUCUCGGGAUCUGGAAUUGGGCCCUCAGUCGGGUCAUUACCCAGAAGCCCUCCCAACGGGGUGUCUGCUGCCUAUGGCUUCUGGACAGGCCCCAUCCUUCAGGCUGAGUGGGAGGGUGGUGGCAGCGGGGAGGGAAAGGCAGAGACCAGCAGCUUGGCCUGUGGUCAGGAGGAAAGAAGGAGCCAACUUAGCUACUCUGAGCCCGCACCACUGUAUCUGUUGUGCUAAUAAUCGGUUUUGCUAAUGCAGUCGCUACCGCGAUGCGAAAAUCCUACUGGAAAAUGUAUUAGAGCAAUUAUCCGUCUUACUGCCUCGGCCCGGCCUGGCAUUAAUAUUCAAUUUUGAUGUGGAAGCCCUAUUAUGUUAAUGACUCUGGUGACAAAAGUC